This 251-nucleotide long non-coding RNA is filed under the name Manihot esculenta (cassava). Its description in RNAcentral is "long non-coding RNA (MESC_LNC001432)". Lineage: Eukaryota; Viridiplantae; Streptophyta; Magnoliopsida; Malpighiales; Euphorbiaceae. The record is from RNAcentral.
GUCUUCCUUUGUAUCAAUCACAUAAAAGUCUGCUGGAAAGACAAGUUCAUCUACUUGUACUAGAACAUCUUCUAGAACUCCUUUUGGAUACACCACAGAUCUGUCAGCCAACUGAAUCACUACUCUUGUGUCUUUUAGUGCACCUGCAUUCAAAGAAUUAUAAAUAGCAAGAGGCAUAACAUUAAUGGAUGCACCUAGAUCACACAUAGCUUUCUUUAUCCCAACAUUGCAAAUUUUGCAAGAAAUAGCAA